RNAcentral lists this long non-coding RNA (5191 nucleotides) under Sus scrofa (pig). RNAcentral's name for it is "lncRNA (ENSSSCG00035014404.1)". The record is from RNAcentral. Lineage: Eukaryota; Metazoa; Chordata; Mammalia; Artiodactyla; Suidae.
ACAUAGAGGCGAUGGACUUCACUACAUUCUCAUGACUCACUGUUAUGUAACGAGCAGCAAGUUGAUUGCAACUGCUCUGGAUACCUGGCAGAAGAACUUAAGGACACACAAAAAGUUCCAGACAUUUGUUAGAGAUGGAUAUGGACAAAAUGGCACCUGCACUAUUCUGGUACCUGUGAACCCUGUGGCAUGCUGGCUUAGCACUUAGGCCACCAGACAAGAACGGCACCACUCUGCUUGAGGAAUGAGCUCUUCACACUAACUGUUCACAGCACCAUUCUGAAAUGUCUUUGUCUGAGGCAAAGCUGCCCUGAGGAUGUUAAUACUGCAAUUCACAGACCUUUUGUUAGGCAAUAAGACCCAAAAUGACCUUUUCUACCUAGAUCUGCUGCUGCCAAAGAGAAUGAUCCAGAGAUCUUUGGAGCAGUGUAUGCACUUAGACUAUAGUAGCAAGAAAUCCAGGAUGCUGUAUAGAAGACAAUGUCUACAGAAGAUUUUGAGCUCCUGAGAGAAUGGCCCUAAGUACGUUCAGCAGGCACUAAUAAAGCCUGGCCUUUAUAUGCAUGGAGUUGGCUUGCCUGGAUUCAAGUCCCAGCCCCACCACAGCUUGAUACUCAACCUUGGGUGAAUGUUCCACUGAAGUGCACCAGGUGGUCCAGGAAUGGCUGCCUUAGUGCUCCAUCCUCAGAAGAAAACCUCUUCACUGCUUGCUUUAAAAUGCAUAUAUAUUUAUGCCAAAGGCCCUAGACCUGCCCUCAAGAAAAGAUGAGAAUGAGCCUCACAUUCCUACGAUGAAGCGGUGGAAAAAUCUGCAAUUUGUACUUAGCACAUCUUUAACUGGACUUAACAAUGUGCCCCCUCCAUUCAGGAUACAGCAUGCAUGAGCCUGGUAGAUGAUGAAACUGCUGUUUUCUUUUGUGGUUUGUAUUUUCCCAAAGAGCCUUGAAUAGUCAAAUAUCAGGUGAUUUGAACCCGCUAGAAUAUGGCAAUGAAAUGAAGUCUUUUUUCUUUGAAACAAAAUUAUUUUAGGUAAGUGAGUAUGUAGAAAUCUCAAAUAAGGUGUGGUAUUCAACAAAAGAAAAAACACUGAUAACAAGUGUUUUUACCCUUGUAAUUGUCCAUUUUGGUCAUUCUUAGUGUUCUAGCAAUUGCUUUUAAAAAUGAGUGUAUUUGAAACAUGCAAUACUACAACUGGAGAAAGAAAAUCCUUUAAUAUAAAAAGUUGCCACGAUUAAAGAGUUUUGCAAAAUUUCUUGGUUAUUAAUAAGAUUUGGAAACUUUGAGCUUCCAUAGUCUAACUUUUUAAAAUGAGAGGUGUUUGUGUGUAAGGAAGGGGGAAUUUAUGAAACUAUAUGCAAAACUGUGCAUGCAUAUGCAUAUGUUUGUGUUCUAGAGAAAGGCUUCUUGGCUUUCAUCAGUUCCCAGGAGGGUUUGUGACAGGAACAAUUCCCAAUGUGCCUGUUUCAUUUUUCUUUCCCACACCAAUCCUCCCUUUCUUCUUUGCAGUCAAUAGUGCUCUAUUUUUCCCUUCCCAGAUGAACUGCUCUUUUUGUUUUCUGAUCAAGUGAGGCUGAGCCAGGGGAGCUCAGGAGCUGGAGCCCUGAUGGUGCUGGUGGCAGACAGAUGGCAAGGCUGCUAGGAGUUGUGCAGUGAGUGGCCUCUGGAUGAGCUGUUAGGAAGAUGGACGGUGUCACCUUGACCCACCCUGAAUAGCAUCUUCCAGAAGGGAAAUGGGGCAUCCAAGAUGCCACCCAUGUAGCCAAACUUCCAUUACACUGAGGAUAGGUCAAAUAAGACUGUCAAGGGGAAAAACUGACUUGGACAGUAGUUUUCCCUAAAUACUUUACUGUUAUCUUUUUUUCAUUCAAUUUUAUUUUCACUUGAUGUCUGGAUAUAUUAGUUUUCCCUAAAUACUUUACUGUUAUUUUUCUUCAUUCAAUUUUAUUUUCAUUUGAUGUUUGGGGGGAUAUUUUCCCCAUUUUCCUUAGUUUCUAUAUCCACUGCAACAUCCUAACACUCUAAUUUGCUUUCUAUGAGACAAACAGGAAGUAUUGCUUCUGGCAAGAUAGGGUUUUCUGUCCUGUUGAUUGAUGGGUUAAUUUUUAUUGAGCACAGUGUGCUACCAACAGAACCAAAAAUCCAAGACAGAAUUCCAGCUCUAGGAAUUUAUGUUCUAAUGAAAAGUAAGACAGACAACACAAGCAAUCCUCCCAGUGUAUUUUUUAAUGAAUAUUUCCUUCUAUUUCUCUCUCUUAAAGUGAGUCUACCUAAGCCAAAAGUACAUAAUAAGGCAACCAUACAGAUAAGUUGGGCCCCAAAACAUGCUCUUUUUUACAAAAAGAGCCAACUGGAUCAGGAAGCCAGAGGUGGGGGGGCAGUUUCAUCAAAAGAAUUUCACUAAUCAUAUUCGCUGAGUGUUGUUCUGUGUUGGAAUUUAAGGGUCAAACAUUUCUCUAGAUUAUUUUGGUUCUAUUCUAUGUCAAGUUAAAUUAUGUCAAGUUAGAUUAAAGAAAGUUACAUUUUUGGACUAUGUAAGUAGUUUAACCCCACACAGAAACCCCUUCACUGAAAUACAACUCAAUACUGUAUGGCUUAAAUUCAUCAAGGAGCUGAUGAUUUUAAAAUAGUUAUUUGAACAAUGUUUCAUUGUCCCUCAUUUCUGUGUCUAUGAUAUAAGGAUUCAUAUGAUCAUGUCUUCAGGAAGUUAGUGGUCCCCAAAAAGAAGUUACCCAUUCCACACCAUUCUCUUUCCUUUCAUCAAGCACUCAAAGCUAAGUAAUCCAGAGUGUUUUCCAAUUUUCUCAGAGCGGAUUUCAGUGCUUAAAUGAAAUGUCUCACCUCUGAAUCAGACACAAUAUUUCUGAGCCACCAUUUCCUCAUUUAUAAAAUGAAAUGUAUUGGAGAUGAUGAUCUUUUAAGAUUCAUUCCAGCUCUGAACCACCAUACACACACACACACACACACACACACACUCACUCACACACACACACACACACACCCUCUUAUAUGACUUCUGAUCUCAUUCAUAUCUUUAUUUAAUUGCAACAGAAGCUACAUAAGAGCCUGGGCCAUGUCUGUCUUGUUCACCCAUAUAUUCCCCUGUUCCUGGCACAUAAAUGGAGUACACUAAAUAUAUCUUGAAUGAAUAAAUUACCUAAUGCUCAUAGCAAUGUGUUCUGUUGCGAGAUGCCUUGAAUCCUUCUUUGGAAGGAAGCAAAGUCCAUAUUAUAAAUUAUCAUGACCUAUUUGUAUAUAAAUCUUACAUCAUACUUAACAAUCUUACAUUUACUCUGCCUGUGUAGCUACAGAUAAAAUUCUGGCAUUUCUUCCUCCUACCUUUUUUUUGUACUGAAGUCAUCCUGUUGCAUACCUUUUUCAUAAAAUUUCAGUUUAAAAAUAAAGCUAAAACUCAGGACAUGAAACUUGCAUGCAGGUAACUAGAGCUUGGGCUGCUGGGAAAGACCAGUGAGGCCAUGUCUGCUGCCACCAAACCUACCAGCUGACAGCUGGUCCAACAACAACACAAAGGGAACAAGGCUCCUUGCUCCCUAACCUAACAAUGUUAAAUUGCCCUGCCCCCCAAUAAUGGGUCUGAUCCUAAAGAACUAGGCAGAAUGAGCCAACCACAGCCCCAGAGGCCCCCAAAGCUCACACUGCUCAUUGAAAGGGUCCAUGGUGAGGGGUAGGGUCAAGACACCUCUAACAAGGUUAAAUAUGCUGGUGUUAUUUUUUUCCUAAUGUGUCUGAGAUUCUUGCCUAAACAGCAAUCUUAGCCAGAACACGGACAUUGUCUCUAAGUUAGGUGGAUGGCAGGGAGUUAAGGGAUGGAUCAUGAGGAAGAUAAAGUAGGACUGGAAAUAGAGGUGGGAGAGUUAAAGUACCUGUGGAAUUCAUUUUCUGGCCCUAAACCUCUAAUACAUUUGAUGGGCAAUGCUGCUAUCUAGUGGCCAAGUGAGAUGAGCACAGGUUCCAAUUAAAUGGCCACACAAUUUAGGGGCAUUUGUUGUUUGGGAUUUCGUGUCUAGUGUUAAGAUUAUUUUGCUUUUAAAUUAUAAAAUGAAAAAACAGACAUUUUGCCCAAGCACAUAACUUUGCAUAAAAGAAUGCUUGUGACUUUUCUCCAUUCCUUCACUUUUUCUCCAUGAUGUCCUUUGAGGCAGUGUAGGGCCUUCCCAGCAAACCCCUUAGUCCUUUUACCUGAAAUGGCCUAGGAAAGUUGGCACCUCUCAUACCCUUUAGGUGCAUCCUUCUUAAGAACCACAGGGGAAGGCGUGGGGUGGCAAUGUGCCCUCACUUCUCCCUUCCAUUGGAAGACUCUGACCUUAUUUCCUCAUAUGGCUGCUUCCUUCUCAUCACUUAGCUCCGUUCAGAGCCCACCUGACUACAGCAGCACCAAUCCACCCCCACCUUCCCAGGGUAUCAAUCCUCGGCACAUUAACAUUCUUCUGGCUUCAUACAGCUCAUCGCCUUUCAAAAUUGUUUACUUGUUUCUUUAUUUUGCGUCUCUCUCUUUCCCAUCAUAAUACAAGCUUUAUAACAGCAGGGACCUUAUCUGUUUUUUUCACUGAUAUCUCUCCAAACACUGGGAAAUAUUGUAAGUGCUUGGCAGACAGCAGACUCUUAAUAAAUACUUUUGGAUGAAUGAAUGAGUGAUUGAGAGAAUAUCUAUCUCCUAAGCCUUUUCCUCCAAUAGCAGUAUUUUUGGCUAAUAUCUUACCACUGCUAAUGUUAGAUAAAUGGGAUGUGGAGGUGUAGAAUUUCACUUGGCAACUGUAAGGUAUGAAAUCUCUGACUAUGCAUUGGCAGAGGUAGCAGAUUAUGAUUAAAAACUAUUAGUACCAGGUUUAAUUUAAUUGUUUAAGUCUGAUAAUUAUGUUUAUCCCUGUAUACUCAGCAAAAAGUCCUAUAAUAUACAGGUACAGUUUUUCUAAAACAAUAGAAAAACACAAAAAAGAUAUACAAAAGAGUAAGAAGAUAAAGGAAAUUUUCAUGGUCUUGUUACGAAUCUUGUAAAUACAUGUCAGUUGGUAGUAGACACAAUUUAAUUGAUUUAAGAAGAUUUUUUUAAAGAAAGGAGUUCCCUGGUGGCCUAUCGGAUUAAGGAUCCAGUGUUGUCACUGCUGUGGAAUGGGUUCAGUCCCUGGCCUGGGAAUUUCCACAUGCUGCAUGUGCAGCCAAAAAAAAAAAAAAA